AUGCAAGUCGAACGAGAAAAGCCCUUCGGGGCUGAGUAGAGUGGCGCACGGGUGAGUAACACGUGGGUAACGUACCCUCAGGUGGGGAAUAACGGGCCGAAAGGCUCGCUAAUACCGCAUAAGACCACAGCCUCUGCGGGGGCAGGGGUCAAAGGGGGCUGCUUUCGGGCAGCUCUCGCCAGAGGAGCGGCUCGCGGACCAUUAGCUAGUUGGUGGGGUAAUGGCCUACCAAGGCUUCGAUGGUUAGCUGGUCUGAGAGGAUGAUCAGCCACACUGGAACUGGAACACGGUCCAGACUCCUACGGGAGGCAGCAGUCGGGAAUAUUGCGCAAUGGGGGAAACCCUGACGCAGCAACGCCGCGUGGGUGAAGUAGGCCUUCGGGUUGUAAAGCCCUGUCAGUUGGGAAGAAACCAUGGAGUAAACCUCCAUGGCUGACGGUACCUUCAAAGGAAGCACCGGCUAACUCCGUGCCAGCAGCCGCGGUAAUACGGAGGGUGCAAGCGUUGUUCGGAAUUACUGGGCGUAAAGCGCGUGUAGGCGGUUUGGUCAGUCUGAUGUGAAAGCCCGGGGCUCAACCCCGGAAGUGCAUUGGAUACUGCCUGACUUGAGUACUGGAGGGGAAAGCGGAAUUCCGAGUGUAGAGGUGAAAUUCGUAGAGAUUCGGAGGAACACCUGUGGCGAAAGCGGCUUUCUGGACAGAUACUGACGCUGAGACGCGAAAGCGUGGGGAGCAAACAGGAUUAGAUACCCUGGUAGUCCACGCAGUAAACGAUGGAUACUAGUGCUGCGGGUAACCACCCCUGCAGUGCCGUAGCUAACGCAUUAAGUAUCCCGCCUGGGGAGUACG
Molecule: ribosomal RNA, 848 nt
Filed under: uncultured marine bacterium
Lineage: Bacteria
Description: bacterial SSU rRNA
Rfam family: Bacterial small subunit ribosomal RNA
Source: RNAcentral